AACGCUCCGGAGAGUCCGUUAUUUCUUUUUUAUGGCACCGAAGGUGUAAACCGAGCAAAAGCCCGGCGUAUCUCUCAGGUAAAAAGAACGGAAG
This 94-nucleotide non-coding RNA is filed under the name pig gut metagenome. Its description in RNAcentral is "Glycine riboswitch". It matches the Rfam family "Glycine riboswitch aptamer", at positions 10 to 85 of the family's 94-position model. Rfam says of the family: This family represents the bacterial glycine riboswitch. The record is from RNAcentral.